This 253-nucleotide ribosomal RNA is filed under the name uncultured bacterium. RNAcentral's name for it is "partial 16S ribosomal RNA". It matches the Rfam family "Bacterial small subunit ribosomal RNA", at positions 524 to 776 of the family's 1533-position model. The record is from RNAcentral.
UACGGAGGGAGCUAGCGUUAUUCGGAAUUACUGGGCGUAAAGCGCACGUAGGCGGCUUUGUAAGUUAGAGGUGAAAGCCUGGAGCUCAACUCCAGAAUUGCCUUUAAGACUGCAUCGCUUGAAUCCAGGAGAGGUGAGUGGAAUUCCGAGUGUAGAGGUGAAAUUCGUAGAUAUCGGGAGGAACACCAGUGGCGAAGGCGGCGACCUGGGCCAAUAUUGACGCUGAGGUGCGAAAGCGUGGGGAGCAAACAGG